RNAcentral lists this ribosomal RNA (257 nucleotides) under uncultured bacterium. RNAcentral's name for it is "partial 16S ribosomal RNA". It matches the Rfam family "Bacterial small subunit ribosomal RNA", at positions 524 to 778 of the family's 1533-position model. The record is from RNAcentral.
UACAGAGGGUGCGAGCGUUGUCCGGAAUCACUGGGCGUAAAGGGCGCGUAGGUGGUGGCUUAAGCGUGCGGUGAAAGCUCGGGGCUCAACCCCGAGUCGGCCGUGCGAACUGGGCUCACUGGAGCAUAGUAGAGGCAGGUGGAAUUCCGGGUGUAGCGGUGGAAUGCGUAGAGAUCCGGAAGAACACCGGUGGCGAAGGCGGCCUGCUGGGCGUAUGGCUGACACUGAGGCGCGACAGCGUGGGGAGCAAACAGGAU